This 1340-nucleotide long non-coding RNA is filed under the name Monodelphis domestica (gray short-tailed opossum). RNAcentral describes it as "lncRNA (ENSMODG00000040627.1)". Lineage: Eukaryota; Metazoa; Chordata; Mammalia; Didelphimorphia; Didelphidae. The record is from RNAcentral.
AUGGGGACUAGCAUGAAAAUAUUAAGGGAGGGGAAGAGAAGAGGGGAGGGAAAUGGGGAAAAUAGAGAGAAUGGAAAGAGGGGGAGGAAGAGACAGAGAGAAGAGAGAGAAGAUGUGAGGAGAAAGAGAGAGGGAGUAAAAGAGGGAGAGAGAGAGAGAGACAGAGAGAGACAGAGAGAGAGAGAGAGAGAGAGAGAGAGAUAUGGAUGGAAAUCAUUUUACAUAUAUAUAAUUGCUUCUAUAGCACCCGCACAGAAUGUCAGAUAUAACCUAGUCCAAACAAUAUUUGACCAGGAAUCUAAUCUAAAACAUUGUCUUGGACUCAGGAAGACCUAUGUUCAAAUCUAGUGUCAAAUACUUUCUAGCUGUAUGACUUUAGGCAAAUCAUUUGAUCUCUGUUUGUCUCAGUUUCCACAUCUAAAAAAUUAGGAAAAUAAGAAUAAGAAUGGCAGGUACCUUCUAGUAUUCUUGUGAAAAAUAGAAGAGCUAAUAUUCAUAAAGCACUUUACAAAUCAUUAUCAUUACAAUUACUAUUAUUAACAACAUCAUCCCCCAACAAACGAUCAUUUGGCUUUCAUGUUAAUACCCCAAUUGAAGGAAAAUCUAUCUCCCAAGGCAGUAGAUUCUACUUUGGAAAAUUCUUAAUUAAUAGCAUUUCCCCCAUCUCUUCAUAUUAAGCCUUCAUUUGCCACUAUAACUUCGACUUUUUGUUUUGGGUUUGUUUGUUUGUUUUUUUUUUUUGUCCUUUGGGACUUGGGGAAACAAGGAGAACAAAGUUCUUUUACUUGACAGCUUUAUAAAUACUCAAAGACAAUCUAUUCAGUUCCUAAAAUCUUCGUAAAGUUAUAUGAGAAAUUACUUUUUAACAGAAUAUUUGUUUUCUUUCAAACAAUUACUGGCCCAACUUUGUGGAAGGCUGAUUUCCUUCAGACAUUUAUGGUGAGACCCAGCAAAAACCUGACAGCUCUGCGACAUGACAACACUACUUAUCUCAUAUAGAGUUAAUAGGAAUGCAGUUACAUAUUUCAAAUGCCAUCAUUUUCAAGCUUAAUGAAUUUCAAAACACUGCCCAACUGUGUUGAAUUCUGGGUAGCAGAAUAAGAUUUCACCCCUUCUCCAGGAAGGGGUUAAGAUACAGAGAAUGCUACUGCUUUCAGAUAAACCAAUUCAACAAUGUUGUAGUUGUCCUUAAUUUCUUUACUCAGCUAUCCUAAUUGAAGAACUAUCUGAGUUGGUUUUGUUACACAUCUAAAAACAUGGUUUUUCAAUUUCAAUUAGUCAAUUUUUUAUCUUGUAAACAGGUCAAUAAAGUUCAAUACAAUGUAGUUAUAUGGUUAUAA